RNAcentral lists this ribosomal RNA (433 nucleotides) under uncultured bacterium. RNAcentral describes it as "bacterial SSU rRNA". It matches the Rfam family "Bacterial small subunit ribosomal RNA", at positions 355 to 786 of the family's 1533-position model. The record is from RNAcentral.
UGAGGAAUAUUGGUCAAUGGUCGGGAGACUGAACCAGCCAAGCCGCGUGAGGGAUGAAGGUACAGAGUAUCGUAAACCUCUUUUGUCAGGGAACAAAAGGCGCCACGCGUGGCGCUCCGAGUGUACCUGAAGAAAAGCAUCGGCUAACUCCGUGCCAGCAGCCGCGGUAAUACGGAGGAUGCGAGCGUUAUCCGGAUUUAUUGGGUUUAAAGGGUGCGUAGGCGGCGAGUUAAGUCAGCGGUAAAAGCCCGGGCUGCAACCCGCCCGGCCCGUCGUAAACUGGCUUGCUUGAGUUGGAGAGAAGUAGGCGGAAUGCGCGGUGUAGCGGUGAAAUGCUUAGAUAUCGCGCAGAACUCCGAUUGCGAAGGCAGCCUACCGGCUCCAGACUGACGCUGAGGCACGAAAGCGUGGGUAUCGAACAGGAUUAGAUACC